Long non-coding RNA from Triticum aestivum (bread wheat), 226 nucleotides. RefSeq lists it as uncharacterized. Lineage: Eukaryota; Viridiplantae; Streptophyta; Magnoliopsida; Poales; Poaceae. The transcript has 3 exons. The record is from RefSeq and is a predicted model, not a curated record.
GACAACAUCUGGAUUGCUCCUGGAACACGUGUGAUGUACCUCGGAGCUGCCUUUAGAACAACCGUGUCUCAUGUGUCUGACAUUGUUGGACCGACUGGGUUGGUGUAUGCCGUUGAGUUCUCUCACCGGAGUGGUAGGGAUCUUGUCAACAUGGCCAAGAAGAGGACCAAUGUCAUCCCCAUCACUGAGGAUGCUAGGCACCCGGCAAAGUAACGGAUGCUGGUCG